AGGACGAACGCUGGCGGCGUGCUUAACACAUGCAAGUCGAGCGGAAAGGCCCUUCGGGGUACUCGAGCGGCGAACGGGUGAGUAACACGUGAGUAAUCUGCCCCUAGCUCUGGGAUAGCUCCGGGAAACCGGGAUUAAUACCAGAUACGACCACUUUAGACAUCUGUUGUGGUGGAAAGAAUUUUGGCUAGGGAUGAGCUCGCGGCCUAUCAGCUUGUUGGUGAGGUAACGGCUCACCAAGGCGACGACGGGUAGCCGGCCUGAGAGGGCGACCGGCCACACUGGGACUGAGACACGGCCCAGACUCCUACGGGAGGCAGCAGUGGGGAAUAUUGCGCAAUGGGCGAAAGCCUGACGCAGCGACGCCGCGUGGGGGAUGAAGGCUUCGGGUUGUAAACCCUUUCAGCAGGGACGAAGCGAAAGUGACGGUACCUGCAGAAGAAGCGCCGGCUAACUACGUGCCAGCAGCCGC
RNAcentral lists this ribosomal RNA (472 nucleotides) under uncultured bacterium. RNAcentral's name for it is "SSU rRNA". It matches the Rfam family "Bacterial small subunit ribosomal RNA", at positions 26 to 518 of the family's 1533-position model. The record is from RNAcentral.